Non-coding RNA from Pocillopora verrucosa, 1568 nucleotides. Lineage: Eukaryota; Metazoa; Cnidaria; Anthozoa; Scleractinia; Pocilloporidae. The record is from RefSeq and is a predicted model, not a curated record.
GUUAGUUUGAUUAGUGUGUCGUUCAAAGAGAGUAAGAAAGGCAUAUCAUGAAAAACAAAAAGGCUUGUUAAAAAAACAAACAAACAAACAAAAGAGCUAAAAGGGCGAGCAACGCCACUAGAGAACUAACCGUAAACACGCCACGUCGGUUGGUGUUGGGCUAAGACGAUGUUGGGGACGAACGGAGUCCAAAAGCCAACGGUGGUGUCCUUUUAAUGAAAAGUUUACACUUGUGUAGUUCAUGCCACUUCUUUGGAUGGAAGUUUAUUGGAUGACUUGGACAAAGCGUAAUUAUGUCGUCUGAUAUCAAUGGAAAGUCUCAAAAGUUUCUGAGGAAAAGUUACAUGCAUGUCCGUGCAACAUGUGCAUCAGGACUUGUCAUCUCAGCUGGGAAUGCUGACGAACCUACAUGUACCUGAAAAUUGUUUGCAAAAUCUGUGGCUUGUUCACCAUGAACAAAGAGAGUUUGACUGAGGAGCAGUGUGAAAAAUGGUUUGAGAUUCAUUGGUGUUAAGGGUAUUACAAAGGCUCCUGCCCAAGUUUGGCAUGGAGAUUUAAUGUGCCAAAUGGCAGUGAUGAUAAAAAAUGAGUGAUUGUCAUUUCAUCAAGCACACAAGGAUGAAUUCUGUGGAAUUGCCACCAUUAUGAAAAUUAACAAAACACUGACCAAGAAUGUCACCAAAAGAGAUACCUUGGGAGGGUGUUACAUCUGAAGCUGGAGCUUUUAAUGAACAGAAGACCAAGAGUAAGAAAAAGGCAAAUUAGACCAAGAAAAUACUUUGUGUAUAUCCAUACAUAGAUAGACAAUGUUUAUUUGUUAAUCCUUCACCUUGCAACCAGGGGCUAGGUGAGCCAAACUUGCAUAUUCUGCAAGCGUCUCUAUAGUAAUUUGAUAUCAUCUUUUCAAUCCUUAAUUAUCUUUUAAGAAUGCUUUGCUGGAGGAAUUCAAGGAAGGAGUGCACCUAAUGAGUAGUCACUGUGGUUCCUCCUCCUUUGGGUUUCUUCUAUAAACCUGUUUGGCCUCUGAAGCAUAACUGUUUUAGGUACAUGUACCAUGUUAAUGAUGGUAACAUGGAAGGUGCGUGGAAGGUUUCCCUAAUAUCCUUUCUUCUGUUGAUGUGCAUCAAAUAUUGCUGGUGAUCUCCAUUCUGAUUCACAGAAAUUUAUUCAAUGUCAAUACCUUAUGACUAUCAUUAAAAUCACUGUCUUGAAGUAAAAGGAGAAGAGAAAAAAAAAUGUCUUGGAUCAUACCAUGAUGACCUGAGUGUUUUAUCAGUCCCUUCUGUUGACUACAGCAAGAAAGCAGGUGUGGGAGAAAAAGUUGCCAUUCUGGAUCAGUGUAAGAAGCUGAGCUAAAAGCAUGAUAAUUAAGCUGCUACAUGAAAUACCUAUAUAUUUUGGUCAGCUGGCAGUUCAUAUAUUUUCUCUCAGUUUUUUGUCCUGGCAGUUAUGGAACAAAAAUCAAGGAACUGAGGCAUCCUCAUGAACAUCAUCAUGAAUUCAACAAGAAUUUGAUUUAUGUGUAGUUGAAAUCUUUAUUGUGAGACUGCCAGCUCAAUUGUAUGCUG